GAGCAGAGAGUUUAACAGGCAAGAAGGAAGGAAGAAGGCAGAAGGAAGAAGCUCCCUUGUACAGAGACAGAGGGAGGGGGUUCCAAAGCCGAAAGAGGAAACCCCACCUGCCACAGAUACCAGCAGGGUACAUGAAGAGGCUGGAGGAGGCUGUGUUUGAUUUGCAUAGCGCUCAGGGGAUUAGUUUGACCAGCAAAUUGGGUGAAAAAAAUUUUAGGCCAUGAGCUGUUUGUUUGUAGUCUCUGAGCUAGAGAAUAGAGAUUGUGGACUUGCCCUUAGUGACUCUUAUUUUGGAAUUUGUCCACCACCCUGGGGUCUUUAGUUGUAAAGACAUUUCUGAAUUUGUGUUAAAUGAAGAAAACCUAGACACUAGAAUCAUGAAAUGCAGAAACGCUUAAAACCAGAAGACUGCAAAAUUUAACAAAUGACCUUUUUUUUGAGACUGAAUCUUGCUCUGUCGCCCAAGCUGUGGGGCAAUCUCCGCUCACUGCAAACUCCGCCUCCAGGUUCAAGCGAUUCUCUUGCCUCAGCCUCCUGAGUAGCUGGGAUUACAAUUGCGUGCCAUUGCGUCUGACUAAUUUUUGUAUUUUUAGUAGAGACGGGAUUUUGUCGUGUUGCCCAGGCUGGUCUUGAACUCCCAGGCUCAAGCUAUCCAAAUGCCUUGACCUCCAAAAGUUCUGGGGAUUACAGGUGUGAGCCACAGUGCCCAGCCAUCAAAUGGCCAUUUUUGAAAGUGGAAAAUCUUCUCUGAAACUUAUGUUCAUAUUAGCAUUGUUUAUGGGAUCAUUCACUAAGAAUCUUGUAUUGAGGUGCAAGCCACUCUGACAGGAGCCUUGUGUUGGAAAUCAUGCAGUGAUGACUUUUCAUCAUCUGCAAAUCAUACAAAGAUUAGCUUCUUCAGAUUAUACAUAUUAACUUUAAAAUGGGAACCUCUAUACAUACUGUAUGAAUGCUGAUGACCAGAAGAAAUGGCCUGAAUUUUAUGAAACAUAAAUAUGGUAAAAUUAUAGAAUUAUAGAAGGAUUAUUAUUAGAGCAAAGAGCAGCAAAUAUGUAUCAAGGAAAACAAAUUAUAAGACUUUAUUGUAACUUACCAUUUUUUUUAAUGCAUGUUUCUGAGGUGCUAGAUCUCUUAUAAGGAAGCCAGGGUCUUCGUGCUUUUGCGAGCAUUUAUGUGUGUAUGUGAUUAAGUGAGUGCAUGUUUCUGUCUUCUUUAGUUUAUAAUACACCAAUUCUUAGUUAUUUAUAUUGUACCAAAUUCUUAUAUCUUCUUAGUAUCGCUAAACUAAGAUUGAGAACAUUUAGAGUAUUCAUGUUUGGCCAGUGGCAAUUAAGAAACUAACUCUGUCACCAUAUUUUCAGUAAAAUAUAAGCAUAAAAUAUCCAAGGUAUUUAAGAAAUUUUUUUAUUACAAAGAAAAUGUUGCAUUAAAAAGUUACUGCAUUUGAAUAGUUUUCAGCAACUAUUUUAACAUUGAUAAUGAAGUCCUAGCCUUUAUUAACACAUGUUGGUCUGA
This 1515-nucleotide long non-coding RNA is filed under the name Homo sapiens (human). Its description in RNAcentral is "HSALNT0187590". The record is from RNAcentral. Lineage: Eukaryota; Metazoa; Chordata; Mammalia; Primates; Hominidae.